GCAGUGCUAACUCAAUUGGUAGAGUAGCUGACUCUUAAUCAGAAGGUUAUAGGUUCAAGUCCUAUGCACUGCACCA
This 76-nucleotide transfer RNA is filed under the name Pseudomonas amygdali pv. lachrymans str. M301315. RNAcentral describes it as "tRNA-Lys". It matches the Rfam family "tRNA". Rfam says of the family: Transfer RNA (tRNA) molecules are approximately 80 nucleotides in length. Their secondary structure includes four short double-helical elements and three loops (D, anti-codon, and T loops). Further hydrogen bonds mediate the characteristic L-shaped molecular structure. tRNAs have two regions of fundamental functional importance: the anti-codon, which is responsible for specific mRNA codon recognition, and the 3' end, to which the tRNAs corresponding amino acid is attached (by aminoacyl-tRNA synthetases). tRNAs cope with the degeneracy of the genetic code in two manners: having more than one tRNA (with a specific anti-codon) for a particular amino acid; and 'wobble' base-pairing, i.e. permitting non-standard base-pairing at the 3rd anti-codon position. Lineage: Bacteria; Pseudomonadati; Pseudomonadota; Gammaproteobacteria; Pseudomonadales; Pseudomonadaceae. The record is from RNAcentral.